Molecule: ribosomal RNA, 253 nt
Filed under: uncultured bacterium
Lineage: Bacteria
Description: partial 16S ribosomal RNA
Rfam family: Bacterial small subunit ribosomal RNA
Source: RNAcentral
UACGUAGGGUGCGAGCGUUAAUCGGAAUUACUGGGCGUAAAGCGUGCGCAGGCGGUUCGUUAAGUCAGAUGUGAAAGCCCCGGGCUCAACCUGGGAACGGCAUUUGAAACUGGCGGGCUGGAGUGUGGCAGAGGGGGGUGGAAUUCCGCGUGUAGCAGUGAAAUGCGUAGAUAUGCGGAGGAACACCGAUGGCGAAGGCAAUCCCCUGGGCCUGCACUGACGCUCAUGCACGAAAGCGUGGGGAGCAAACAGG